AUUGAACGCUGGCGGCAUGCCUUACACAUGCAAGUCGAACGGUAACAGGUCUUCGGAUGCUGACGAGUGGCGAACGGGUGAGUAAUACAUCGGAACGUGCCUAGUAGUGGGGGAUAACUACUCGAAAGAGUGGCUAAUACCGCAUGAGAUCUACGGAUGAAAGCAGGGGAUCGCAAGACCUUGUGCUACUAGAGCGGCCGAUGGCAGAUUAGGUAGUUGGUGGGAUAAAAGCUUACCAAGCCGACGAUCUGUAGCUGGAAUGAGAGGACGAUCAGCCACACUGGGACUGAGACACGGCCCAGACUCCUACGGGAGACAGCAGUGGGGAAUGUUGGACAAUGGGCGCAAGCCUGAUCCAGCAAUGCCGCGUGCAGGAUGAAGGCCUUCGGGUUGUAAACUGCUUUUGUACGGAACGAAAAGCCCUGGGUUAAUACCCUGGGGUCAUGACGGUACCGUAAGAAUAAGCACCGGCUAACUACGUGCCAGCCGCCGCCGUAA
RNAcentral lists this ribosomal RNA (498 nucleotides) under uncultured bacterium. Its description in RNAcentral is "partial 16S ribosomal RNA". It matches the Rfam family "Bacterial small subunit ribosomal RNA", at positions 30 to 523 of the family's 1533-position model. The record is from RNAcentral.